GGUGCUCGAGUUGUAAUUUGUAGAGUGGAUCCUUGGGGCCGUUCCUUGCCUAUGUUCCUUGGAACAGGACGUCAUGGAGGGUGAGAACCCCGUGUGGCGAGGGGCGCGGCUCCGUGUAAGGGCUGCUCGAAGAGUCGAGUUGUUUGGGAAUGCAGCUCUAAGUGGGUGGUAAAUUCCAUCUAAAGCUAAAUACAGGCGAGAGACCGAUAGCGAACAAGUACAGUGAUGGAAAGAUGAAAAGAACUUUGAAAAGAGAGUGAAAAAGUACGUGAAAUUGUUGAAAGGGAAGGGCAUUUGAUCAGACAUGGUGUUUUGCGCCCCCUGCUCCUUGUGGGCGGGGGAUCCUCGCAGCUCACUGGGCCAGCAUCA
RNAcentral lists this ribosomal RNA (369 nucleotides) under Arxiozyma bovina. RNAcentral's name for it is "LSU rRNA". It matches the Rfam family "Eukaryotic large subunit ribosomal RNA", at positions 133 to 499 of the family's 3401-position model. Lineage: Eukaryota; Fungi; Ascomycota; Saccharomycetes; Saccharomycetales; Saccharomycetaceae. The record is from RNAcentral.